UUGACCUCAAAUCAGGUAGGACUACCCGCUGAACUUAAGCAUAUCAAUAAGCGGAGGAAAAGAAACUAACAAGGAUUCCCCUAGUAACUGCGAGUGAAGCGGGAAAAGCUCAAAUUUUGAAUCUGGCGGUCUUUGCAGACCGUCCGAGUUGUAAUCUAGAGAAGCGUCUUCCGCGCCGGCCCGUGUACAAGUCUCCUGGAAGGGAGCGUCUUAGAGGGUGAGAAUCCCGUCUCUGACAUGGACCACCGGGGCUAUGUGAUGCGCUCUCGACGAGUCGAGUUGUUUGGGAAUGCAGCUCAAAAAGGGUGGUAAACUCCAU
Molecule: ribosomal RNA, 319 nt
Filed under: Boletus cf. reticulatus
Lineage: Eukaryota; Fungi; Basidiomycota; Agaricomycetes; Boletales; Boletaceae
Description: partial large subunit ribosomal RNA
Rfam family: Eukaryotic large subunit ribosomal RNA
Source: RNAcentral